Molecule: long non-coding RNA, 373 nt
Filed under: Ananas comosus (pineapple)
Lineage: Eukaryota; Viridiplantae; Streptophyta; Magnoliopsida; Poales; Bromeliaceae
Description: long non-coding RNA (ACOM_LNC018635)
Source: RNAcentral
GCCAAUUUCACUUAAAAUUUUCAACUCCGUGAAUAACAAUACAUGCAGUACUCUACGAAAGAAGCGGAACUCAUGGACUAGGAUCGCGGUCGGUCGUGAUGGUGUGUAGCAUCAUGUUAUGCCGAUCGGACGGCGCAGAGGGCAAAAUCCCCCCCCUCCGGUGAAAGAAGCUGAAACCUAAACCCCCUUUGAGCUUCUCCAUAUUGCCAUGGUGCACUACAAAACCAUCUCCUUUUGUAUUCUCCACAUUGUGCAUGUGACCAUUACUACUACCUAUUGUUGCAUGAAAAAAUUGGAGCAAAAACAAGAUCAAGAGGAGGAAACAAGAAGAAACAGUUCUCAUUUUAGAUAUAUAGAAGAGAAUGGACUGAAG